CAGUAGCCACGGUAAUACGGAGGGCGCGAGCGUUACCCGGAUUUACUGGGCGUAAAGGGCGUGUAGGCGGCCUGGGGCGUCCCAUGUGAAAGGCCACGGCUCAACCGUGGAGGAGCGUGGGAUACGCUCAGGCUAGAGGGCGGGAGAGGGUGGUGGAAUUCCCGGAGUAGCGGUGAAAUGCGCAGAUACCGGGAGGAACGCCGAUGGCGAAGGCAGCCACCUGGUCCACUUCUGACGCUGAGGCGCGAAAGCGUGGGGAGCAAACCGGAUUAGAGACCCGUGUAGUCCCUGUCUCUUAUAC
RNAcentral lists this ribosomal RNA (301 nucleotides) under uncultured bacterium. RNAcentral's name for it is "partial 16S ribosomal RNA". It matches the Rfam family "Bacterial small subunit ribosomal RNA", at positions 509 to 807 of the family's 1533-position model. The record is from RNAcentral.